This 288-nucleotide long non-coding RNA is filed under the name Hordeum vulgare. RNAcentral describes it as "long non-coding RNA (HVUL_LNC002574)". Lineage: Eukaryota; Viridiplantae; Streptophyta; Magnoliopsida; Poales; Poaceae. The record is from RNAcentral.
CCCUCGCCCUCGUCAACCGCCUCCAGCCCGCGCGCCGCCCCGCCGCCACAGAGGCCCACCAGUAGCCUUUGCUGCCGCCUGCUAUAUCUAUUCCCCGUCGCCAUUGUAGCUACCUAUCCUACCACCCCUCCGCCAUUGCUGCUGCUUCUGUUCUGCCAGACAUAUGUACGGAUUAAAUUACUGGAGUAGUAAAACAAUUUCAUCGCCGUCACCGAUUCAUCAACAGCAACCGCAUUGUUUUGGCGGGGACGUGAAUAACAAAGUUGCCGAUUUCGUCGGCGCCUGGAU